Molecule: small nucleolar RNA, 54 nt
Filed under: Euglena gracilis
Lineage: Eukaryota; Euglenozoa; Euglenophyceae; Euglenales; Euglenaceae
Description: partial Eg-m47.2 box C/D methylation-guide snoRNA
Source: RNAcentral
GAUUCGCUACUACAACCACCGACUGCCUGAUGCACAUCCUCUGUCACCUGACCU